This 508-nucleotide ribosomal RNA is filed under the name uncultured bacterium. RNAcentral's name for it is "partial 16S ribosomal RNA". It matches the Rfam family "Bacterial small subunit ribosomal RNA", at positions 29 to 523 of the family's 1533-position model. The record is from RNAcentral.
AUUGAACGCUGGCGGCAGGCCUAACACAUGCAAGUCGAGCGGCAGCGGGAAAGUAGCUUGCUACUUUUGCCGGCGAGCGGCGGACGGGUGAGUAAUGCCUGGGGAUCUGCCCAGUCGAGGGGGAUAACUACUGGAAACGGUAGCUAAUACCGCAUACGCCCUACGGGGGAAAGCAGGGGACCUUCGGGCCUUGCGCGAUUGGAUGAACCCAGGAGGGAUUAGCUAGUUGGUGAGGUAAUGGCUCACCAAGGCGACGAUCCCUAGCUGGUCUGAGAGGAUGAACAGCCACACUGGAACUGAGACACGGUCCAGACUCCUACGGGAGGCAGCAGUGGGGAAUAUUGCACAAUGGGGGAAACCCUGAUGCAGCCAUGCCGCGUGUGUGAAGAAGGCCUUCGGGUUGUAAAGCACUUUCAGCGAGGAGGAAAGGUUGGUAGCUAAUAACUGCCAGCUGUGACGUUACUCGCAGAAGAAGCACCGGCUAACUCCGUGCCAGCAGCCGCCGUAA